AGCAAUUAAGCUUUGUCUGGAUAAGGUUUUAGUUAAGCAGGAAACUCAUAAUUGCAAACGCUUGGAACUUAAAGCUAAACAAUUUGCUGCCACCUUAAAGACACAGAACCAAGUAAAUCCACCGUCAUGCAAAAAUCCUCAACAACCUGAAAUAUACUCGCUUCAGCUAGUUCCUUGGCAAUUAAUUCUCUGCAUUAGCAUGUAUGAAAUGAAUAAAAACCAUUGGAGCAACAGAAAUAAAGUACUACAUUCUCUGAGUCAGCUUUUAAAAACUGACAGCAACAAGCUUGAUUUAGAAUCAGUUUACUGGCUCCCAAGCACAAACUUCUAUAGAAGAGUGGUAAUUUCCUUCUCCUGUUCCAAUAUACCACGCAAGCUUUUAAACAUACGUAGGUUUUUAAGUGAUAAAUUUGGGAUAUGCAUACAAAGGAUGUUCAAAGAAACUGGCAUUCAACCCUUAUUCAGGAAUAGGUUUAGAAAUACAAAGAUAAAUACUAUACAAACAAACGUAACUCCUUUGGAGAAUCAAACACAAGGCCCUUCUAGUGUAGAAGAGACUUAUCUGGAUGAGGAAGAAACACUCCUAAAUUUAUUUUCCGACCUACCUCAGAAAGAGCAAAAUAACAUUUUGGAUCGACUAAAUACUUUAAAACUGACACUAGCAAAGAAGCAAAAUCCAAAUGCAGAUGAUCUUGCCACUGUGAAGAAGGCAAAAAUGAGAAAAACUACUCAGCCAUACAGCGAAGGAAUGCAGGAGGUAGACAAAACUGUUCUUUCAGCAUCAAAAUGCAAAGGCCAGAUGGACACCUUGGCCUUAAAUUCAUCUACGAGAGCAAAUAGAACUGCCUCAUCUAUGGACAUUUCAAAUUAUUUGAUUUCAAAUCCCAAACGAAAGCUUAGGGCAAACACAAAAAUGACCCGUGACAACUGUGAGUGGACUAAAAUGAGAUUUUUGGAAGAACAUGAAUUAGGUCAUUCNCCAAACACCCCCGUGGACACUGAGCAACCUAAAAAGAGCACAGCACCAAAAAUUUCAAAUGUAUGCAGACCCUCCUCACAGACAGAUCUCAUCAAAACUUUAGAUGAAGCAGCUCGUGACCCGAGACCAGCACGACAGACCAAUAAUGACUACUUGACUACAAACCAGGACAACAUAUCUAGCUUUGAUAAAAUGCUAAUAAAAUCCACCUGACUAAGAUGCCCACAUUCCAACCCACUCAAUCUAUCAAUUCUAUCAUGGAAUAUUGCUGGUUGGACAAGGAAAGCCUUCG
Molecule: long non-coding RNA, 1271 nt
Filed under: Salvator merianae (Argentine black and white tegu)
Lineage: Eukaryota; Metazoa; Chordata; Lepidosauria; Squamata; Teiidae
Description: lncRNA (ENSSMRG00000013264.1)
Source: RNAcentral